Molecule: ribosomal RNA, 208 nt
Filed under: uncultured bacterium
Lineage: Bacteria
Description: partial 16S ribosomal RNA
Rfam family: Bacterial small subunit ribosomal RNA
Source: RNAcentral
GAUCAUGGCUCAGAUUGAACGCUGGCGGCAGGCCUAACACAUGCAAGUCGAGCGGAUGAAGAGAGCUUGCUCUCUGAUUCAGCGGCGGACGGGUGAGUAAUGCCUAGGAAUCUGCCUGAUAGUGGGGGACAACGUUUCGAAAGGAACGCUAAUACCGCAUACGUCCUACGGGAGAAAGCAGGGGACCUUCGGGCCUUGCGCUAUUGAU